Molecule: ribosomal RNA, 261 nt
Filed under: Escherichia coli
Lineage: Bacteria; Pseudomonadati; Pseudomonadota; Gammaproteobacteria; Enterobacterales; Enterobacteriaceae
Description: partial 16S ribosomal RNA
Rfam family: Bacterial small subunit ribosomal RNA
Source: RNAcentral
UUAAAUUGAAGAGUUUGAUCAUGGCUCAGAUUGAACGCUGGCGGCAGGCCUAACACAUGCAAGUCGAACGGUAACAGGAAACAGCUUGCUGUUUCGCUGACGAGUGGCGGACGGGUGAGUAAUGUCUGGGAAACUGCCUGAUGGAGGGGGAUAACUACUGGAAACGGUAGCUAAUACCGCAUAACGUCGCAAGACCAAAGAGGGGGACCUUCGGGCCUCUUGCCAUCGGAUGUGCCCAGAUGGGAUUAGCUAGUAGGUGGG